This 497-nucleotide ribosomal RNA is filed under the name uncultured bacterium. Its description in RNAcentral is "partial 16S ribosomal RNA". It matches the Rfam family "Bacterial small subunit ribosomal RNA", at positions 28 to 507 of the family's 1533-position model. The record is from RNAcentral.
GAUGAACGCUGGCGGCGUGCUUAACACAUGCAAGUCGAGCGAACGGACGAGAAGCUUGCGGCUUUGAUGUUAGCGGCGGACGGGGGAGUAACACGUGGAUAACCUACCUAUAAGUCUGGGAUAACUUCGGGAAACCGGAGCUAAUACCGGAUAAUAUUUUGAACCGCAGGGUUGAAAAGUGAAAGUCGGUCGUGCGGGCACGUAUAGCUGGAUACGCGCUGCAUUAGCUAGUUGGUAAGGUAACGGCUUAUCAAGGCAACGAUGCAUAGCCGACCUGCGAGGGUGAUCGGCCACACUGGAACUGAGACACGGUCCAGACUCCUACGGGAGGCAGCAGUAGGGAAUCUUCCGCAAAGGGCGAAAACCUGACGGAGCAGCGCCGCGUGAGUGAUGAAGGUCUUCGGAUCGUAAAACUCUGUUAUUAGGGAAGAACAUAUGUGUAAGUAACUGUACACAUCUUGACGGUACCUAAUCAGAAAGCCACGGCUAACUACGUG